UGGGGUAGGACAACCCGCUAGACUUAA
RNAcentral lists this ribosomal RNA (27 nucleotides) under Tulasnella sp. YN-2011. Its description in RNAcentral is "partial 28S ribosomal RNA". Lineage: Eukaryota; Fungi; Basidiomycota; Agaricomycetes; Cantharellales; Tulasnellaceae. The record is from RNAcentral.